This is a long non-coding RNA of Micropterus dolomieu (smallmouth bass), 1280 nucleotides long. RefSeq lists it as uncharacterized. NCBI's taxonomy places the organism in Eukaryota, Metazoa, Chordata, Actinopteri, Centrarchiformes, Centrarchidae. The transcript is spliced from 2 exons. The record is from RefSeq and is a predicted model, not a curated record.
GUUGGCUUUACACCUAAAUGGAACAGAGGAAUUGUGAAUGUCAUUCGUCACACCUGUGUCUAAAGGCCAGGCAUUCAGAUGCUCAACAGCUCAUGACUGCACCUAUUCUGCCGCCUCUGGGAGGAAGGAUUUGGGUUCAGCUUUUAGUCGUCUCCCUGACGGCCCCAUGUGUUAAUACUGCUGUCGUGUCCUGGGGAGAGAGAAGGCUAAUUAUCGACUGCUCAGUCUUCCUGCCAGUCCCCCUUGGAGAGCCCUACACUGUUAAUUGGACGACAACUCCAAAGGGAGCUGAACUGUGGAUGAGACCGACCUUUACCUCAUGUAAACAGCAUUACAUAUCAAAAGAAAUUUUUUAUUUUUCAUUUCCCCAAUUGCGCCUCCAUUUCACAACAAUACUUCAUUAUAUCUGAAUCAGUUAAGGAAAAUUCUCUGAAAUAAAUGUAAAUAACCUCUUGUUAAGACACACUUUAAGCUAGGUGGGUUAAGUGACAUUGACCUUACACUUUGUCUGGUUCAAAUAGAUUUCAAAGUGCAAUUAUUUGGGUUUUAACAAUAUAAAGUAAUCAUUCUUCUAAAUAUUAGAUAUUCGACUAUUACAAAAAGAGACUACAGGCAUGCGAGCAGAUCUGUGAAACUACAAUUAGGCACAGAGGUUCUUUAUACUAAAUACAUGCCCAUAAUGAUGUGUUUACAUGCUGAGGUUUAGCAGGUAUAAUGUUCAAAGUCUUAUCUGUACAAAAUUUAAUGACAAUCCACACAAUAGUUGUUGUGUCAGGACCAAAGAGGUUGACCCACAAGCUGACAUUCCCAUCCACAGAUCCAUGUCAGUGGCGUGGAUAAUUAUUUUAUUUAUUUUAUGUUGUAUUCAGCCUCUUUGCUUCCUUUACAGCACUUUGUGUAACACUACCUGGCUUGCGCAUUGAUUACAGCGGAGACAAAAUGCAUUCAUUACAUAAUGCUUAAAUGCGCGUAUGUGGUGUAGCUGGACAUCAUGACACCCAUACAUUUUUUUUGGGCUGCACUUUGUGAUCACUGAGUUUCAGUAGUUUUAAUGAUGUUUGGACAUUUUUAUUGAUGUAGUUUUGGUAAAUGUGAUCGCCUGUCCUUGAAGCAGAUGGUUGUCUGGAGGUUAAAUGCCUUUGCCGACAUCCUCCGCCGUGACAGCACUCUAAUCCUGCUGCUCAUUCAUUGGUUUUAAACUGCACGUCCGUGUGGCAUCUGACACAGAGUUCUAAUUUGUGUACAAGAAAAUGUGACCAUGAAAGUAAUGAACAAAUAUA